AAGCAGCAUCUUUCACCACCAGGAGGGAGUCAUCGCAUCUGAGGGUUCAGGUUCUCAAUGCCAAUUUCUCAGCAGUGGUAGGUCAGGUCUUUGAAGCUCCAUCCUAAAAUUGCAGGGCUCUAAAUAACCCAGAUGAAACCUAUUGGGAUGAAUUCACAACUGUCUGCAAGAGAAAGCUCCCGCUGACGUCAAUAGGAGUUUAUCCUGAGGGCCUAAGAAUUAGAAAGAGCUGCCAGUGCCAUCCCUGUGAGCAGUGAAGCAAAGAAAAGCAAUGAGGUAAGGAAUCUUUCCACAGAUACUAUAUGAGAUGCAUUUCA
Molecule: long non-coding RNA, 317 nt
Filed under: Homo sapiens (human)
Lineage: Eukaryota; Metazoa; Chordata; Mammalia; Primates; Hominidae
Description: HSALNT0364739
Source: RNAcentral